Molecule: ribosomal RNA, 400 nt
Filed under: uncultured bacterium
Lineage: Bacteria
Description: bacterial SSU rRNA
Rfam family: Bacterial small subunit ribosomal RNA
Source: RNAcentral
UGGGGAAUAUUGGACAAUGGACCAAAAGUCUGAUCCAGCAAUUCUGUGUGCACGAUGAAGUUUUUCGGAAUGUAAAGUGCUUUCAGUUGGGACGAAGAAAGUGACGGUACCAACAGAAGAAGCGACGGCUAAAUACGUGCCAGCAGCCGCGGUAAUACGUAUGUCGCAAGCGUUAUCCGGAUUUAUUGGGCGUAAAGCGCGUCUAGGCGGUUUGGUAAGUCUGAUGUGAAAAUGCGGGGCUCAACUCCGUAUUGCGUUGGAAACUGUCAAACUAGAGUACUGGAGAGGUGGGCGGAACUACAAGUGUAGAGGUGAAAUUCGUAGAUAUUUGUAGGAAUGCCGAUGGGGAAGCCAGCCCACUGGACAGAUACUGACGCUAAAGCGCGAAAGCGUGGGUAGC